This 423-nucleotide ribosomal RNA is filed under the name uncultured bacterium. Its description in RNAcentral is "bacterial SSU rRNA". It matches the Rfam family "Bacterial small subunit ribosomal RNA", at positions 358 to 773 of the family's 1533-position model. The record is from RNAcentral.
GGAAUAUUCGUCAAUGGGGGAAACCCUGAACGAGCAGUGCCGCGUGAAGGAAGAAGGUCCUAUGGAUUGUAAACUUCUGUUGUAAAGGAAGAACGACCUAAGUAGGAAAUGACUUAGGAGUGACGGUACUUUAUUAGAAAGCUCCGGCUAACUACGUGCCAGCAGCCGCGGUAAUACGUAGGGAGCGAGCGUUAUCCGGAAUUAUUGGGUGUAAAGGGUGCGUAGGCGGUUUGAAAAGUCAGUGGUGAAAGCCUAGAGCUUAACUCUAGUAAGCCAUUGAAACUGUCGAACUUGAGUAUGGUAGAGGCAAGCGGAAUUUCUAGUGUAGCGGUAAAAUGCGUAGAUAUUAGAAGGAACACCAGUGGCGAAGGCGGCUUGCUGGGCCAAGACUGACGCUGAGGCACGAAAGCGUGGGGAGCAAAU